RNAcentral lists this unclassified non-coding RNA (10770 nucleotides) under Leishmania donovani. RNAcentral describes it as "gene:LdHU3.34.3830(CDS-product:protein_phosphatas e_2C-like_protein)". Lineage: Eukaryota; Euglenozoa; Kinetoplastea; Trypanosomatida; Trypanosomatidae. The record is from RNAcentral.
CGGCUCCAUCUCCCGCCUCCGGCCCUGCUUUCCUGUCCCACGUGACAUGCAGCCACAGUAAGCUGCGCGCACACAGCUUUUCUUUCAUCUCUGCCCCUUUUCACGCCACCGGUGCUCACUCCAUUGGCUUUCUUCCUUUCCUUUCCGUCACCGCACUCCCUCCUUUCCCCACGUCGCCGAGACAGGGAUUCCCACUUGUGUCUUCCCGUGUGUUUGUGCCUGCAUGUGUGUUUGCGUACCUGUCUUUUCCCCCUCUUGUCUUCCACAUCGCUGCGCCGGCUUGCUUCCCUUCUUUGUGAAAUAACCUUCCCUCUUUUUCUUUUCAUUCUCUUCUUCUUCCUUUUUCCUUCUCUCUGCCCUUCCCCUCCCCUCGCCUCUUUCGCUCUGUACUUUCUUUCCCCGUCUUCUCCCCGUUACCACCGCAUCUCGUCUUUUCUUUCUUGCCCGUGCGCACGCGUGUGCGGGUGCUUUCGACGGGAACUCUCUUUGUUUUGGGGUUUGUCCCCUUCGCCCUUGCGUCUUCUUCAAGUUCUCCUCUAUGUAUGCUAAGUUUGUCUCUGCCGGAUAGUUUCUGUUCAGGACGUAUAGGGGGCAUUGCUUGUCGCUAUCACCGCCUGUCCUACUCCAAGAAAAACCGGGGAGACCUCCUUACCCACCCACCUACCCCGAAGCCUCCAUCUACACCUUCUUUGCAGCGCGCGCGCAAACAUCAAGCCCGCCACCCUCGGCGUUUUCUUUCACCCUUCCCCUUCCUCGCAAGCGCACCUUCCGCCCACUCUGUGUGGUGAUGAGUCUCCGACCCGUGCAUCGACCCGUUGCGACUGUUCUAGCGGUUGACAUGAUGCACGACAGUCGAGCACCGCACGGAAAGUCGCGCGUCUCGGGGGGCUCCAGCUGCUUCCCGUCCGAUUAUCUUAACAACGAGAGCUUUGACCUGAACUCCGAGACGGAACACGUAUCCACGAACUCCUCCACAUGUGAUCCGGCGGAGUCGUACCACCUCUUGCUCCCUCGAGAGUUGCGGACGCCGGCUCAGGACUUCACCACGCCGGAGAUCCCGGACAGCUCCUCUCACUCACCGCUCUGCAGUGCUUUCUUUUCUUCGGUGACUGAAAUGCAGCACCAGUCGGUGCUGGAGGUCGGCGUGGCAAGCGAUCAAGGCAUCCGCUCGAGCAUGGAGGACGAGCAUGUGACCGUCGUGGAGCCGGAGGUUUGCUUUUUUGGCAUCUAUGAUGGGCACGGCGGUCGCCAGUGUGCCGAGUACGUCCGCUCCCGGCUGCACAAAAUUACACUGGCUCACGAGUGCCUUAAGACGGCUCCACGCAAGGCGAUCAGCGACGCAUUUGCUCAGGUCGAGCGCGAGUUUUUAGGGCAGAACACCAACGACAUGAGCUCUGCUGGCUGCGUGUGCGCCGCGGCCGUCGUCCAGGGCUCGGUGCUGACGGUGGGCAACGUUGGUGACUGUGAGGUGGUCCUCGCGCGUGCGGGGCAACCUGUGCUGUUGACAGUCAAGCACAAUCCCAGCUGCAACGAUGCCGAGGCAACGCGGGUCAAGAAGGCUGGCGGGUGCAUUUUCAACUGCAGGGUGGGCCACCCGCGUCUCAACCCGCGCAUGUGCAGUCUUGCCGUGUCACGCGCGGUGGGAGAUGCCGGGUUCAAGCUUGAGGAAUACACGAACGGCAAACCUUCAGGCAUCAUCGCUGUCGCCGACACCUCUGAAGUGCUACUGGCAAAGGAAGAUGCGUUUUUGAUUUUGGCGUGUGACGGCUUGUGGGACACGAUGUCUUACGCCGAGGCUGUCGAGCUGGCCACCGCGUACGUGGCGAGCGGGGCCGACGCCAACAGCGUCGCCGACCAGCUUGUGGGAGAGGCGCUGCGGCGGGGCACGCGCGACAACGUCACGGCCAUCUUUGUACGCCUAGGUGGGCCAGCGCAAGCAGGACUAGGCGAUGCCGAAAAAUGAAGCCGAGCGUAGAUGAGAAUGCCCGUGUACUCUCCAUCUUCUCUUCUGUGCGUGUGUUUGCGUCUUCGGUGCGACGUGCCAUGAAGACGGCCCAUGCGAACAUCCGUUUGAGCUUGCAUGACAGAGGAGAAGCAGGCAAAAGAUAACCUUUUCAUGCCCAGGCACACACAAAUGUGUGCCCCAAAUAACCCGUUCCCCUCGUCCUACGCGCUCUCGCUUUAUCUUGUGCGACUCAGGUGCUCACUCCUGCUCGCCCUGGUGUGGCUGCUUUCCAUUGCUUUCUGUUUUCGCAUCGUUUAAGCUCGCUUUUUGAAGUACAUGAAGCGGGAGAGUUUCUUCCUCACCUUCCCCCAUGCUCGUCGCCGUCGGGAGAGGAGUGGAGGGAGGUGUGUGUCUGUGUGCGUUGUGAAGAAACACAUGAUGCUGUCGCGGUUUCUGUUUUCUUUUGAAGACGAGGUGUGUAUACAUGUAUAUCUACAUAUGUAUGCGCGCAUGUGCUGUGUAGUUGCCCCUGACGUUAUGGGCGCUUCCUUCGCUCGUUUCCCAGCUUCUCUUCCUGCAGCUCUUUCUGUCGCAUCAUCGCUUUUAUACGCGUCUUGGAGAACGGCACUAUGCACUCAUGCGAAAGCGUGCAUGGCUUCGGGCAGCGGAUGAGGGGAAGUUGAUAGUUAUGUGGAUAGGUGCGUGUGCGUUCCUGCGUACUUGAAGGACUUUAGCACCUGAUAGAUGAAAAAAAAAUAAUAAGGCGAUGCAUACCUACACCAACACGCGAACAAACAACAGUAAAGUGUUUUCGAGUAAAGUGGAUGUCUUCCCUUUUUUUUUUUACAAUCUCUCGUGAAAAUAUUUUACUUUGGUGUCUAUAGGCGUGAAGAUGCGAUUGUGUGUAUGUGAGUGCGGUCGCGUGCAUUUCUGUAUCACCUUAUCUUUUUCUGUGUGUGAUUUUAUUCUUCCUUGUCCAUGUUUUCCGCGCCUUUUUUUCUUGGAACUUCUUUUUUUUUGCGCCCAAAUCUCCUCUUCGUCGUUUCCGUAUCAGUCUCCUCCUCAUGCUCUUUUCAUUGGAACUACUCUCUUCCCGCCUUAUGUGUGUGAUGCUUCGUGCUCAUGUGAGGUCGUGCAUCUUCUUUGCUCUCCCCCUCCUCCUGCUUUCUUUGCCCUUUUUCUUUGGUUUGACCCCUUCUCCUUGGAACUAUUUUCUUUCUUCCCUCCCCCGACCCUCUGUUUCUCUGUUUUCCCUCGCACUCAUGUGCGUGUGCGUUUGUGUGCUCUCUUGUUCAGCUCCUCUAUUCUCCUACAGUCCUUCUCCCCUUUCCCCCUUUUCCCUCUUAUACAGGUCUCUUUACUCUCCCUCAUCUUUCAUCGCAACCAUCUUUUCAUUUCUCUCCGCGGACGCGUGCUGAUGUUGUUUAUCAUGUGCCUUGCCUGUGCGUGUGUGUUUUGUUCUCCCCCUUUUUCUUUGUUGGAACAGUUGAAGGGGCCUUCUCUUUCGCUCUUUUUUUUCAGCUUCUCUGUCGUCGGUGACGUUAACUGUUGUAUAUCUCUUUCCUGUGUGUUUCUCUCUUCUGCCGACAUUAAAACAAACAACAGAAAAAAAAGAUCUUUUUGUGCUUUACCGCAUGUAAACUGCUUCCAAUUUUGCACCUUCAUUCCAUCUUCCUCUCCGAUAUGCCUUCUAUGCAGCUCCUCCGCUCCGCAACCUACGCGGAUGCUUCCUCCUCUUUUUUCUCCGUGACAUAAUUGCCUUGUUGUUUCUAACAAACUCUUUUUCCUUUUUUUUUCAGGUCUCUUCGUCUUUCGCCCCCCCUUCCCUCCCCCUUCAUGGCGCCUUUUUGCAUAUAUGUACAUAUGUGCAUGCGUGUCCUUGCGUGCCGUCCUAAGCAGCUGCCCUUUCUCCUUACUUUGGGUGUGGCAGCGUCUUUCUCCGUCCUCUGACCCUCUUCCUUCUUUUUCUUUGUGUGCUGUUCUCUAUUUUUCUCCUCAUCCUCGAGGUCCCCUGGAACCCUUUUCCCGCGCACCCCCGCCGCCUUCCCCGUUUUUUUUUUUGUGAUCUCAAUAUGAUGUAUAGAUCUAGAGCUCGGUCUUCCGCCCUUUGACUGCUCUUCUUCAACCACAUCCGUAUGUAUUUCUUUCAGUUUUUUUCACUUGUAGCCAUUUCUUUUUUUGUCCUAUCACUAUGUAUGAUCACACUUAGGAGUGCCUGUGUUUUUGUUGUGUGCCUUUGCCACACAUGAGUGCAGCGGGAGGAGGUGGUGGUGGUGGCGACGUUGUGUUAGGCGCUCGUCAAGCACGACAAUGUCCACACCGAGACGGUGUCGAAGUCCUUUUCCAUCCACAAAGAAGAGAGAAAAGAAUGAAAAUCAAAGCAUGUGCUUCUGCAUAAUACGAAAAAAAAAACCACGACCACGAUGGAUCAGCCACACACAGUUUGUCUCCUCCCUCUUUUCUUUUACUCAGCAAAAAAAAAAGGAAGGAGCCAGGGGUAGAAAAGCAAAAAAAAGGAGGGUACAUCACACAUGGUUCGAGGAUAGAGAGUUCACGUGAUGACGGAGGCAAAAACAAAAUGCAAACAACAACGAGACAAUGCGUUCAUGUUUCUUUUUUUUUUGUUGUUGUUGCCUUUUAAAUGCAGAUGUCUGAGAAGUCGCAUUACGUUCUUGUGUCUUGGCUUCGCACUUCUUUCUUUUUUCUUUGGUUUCGCUAUCUUCAUUUCGCGCCAUCUGCAUCAUCUUAUUGGGUCUCUGCUCUCAAAACCUCCUUUGGAGAGCCGGCUCAGUUCUCCUUGCCUUUCCUCCUCCCCACGCCCCACCUCACUGCUUCCUUCUUUCUCUUCUUUUUGUUUCUUCUCUCCCACCUCAUCCUUUUCUUUGUUGAAGGACUUCCCUCUAUUGUUGUGGUUCUUCACUCCCUCUGACUGUUGUCGUGGAUCUAUACAACUGUUUUUGUUACACCUGCCUCCCACUGUCCCUUCCUAAACCCCCCUUUUUUCGGCUGUUGCCGUUGUUCUCCCCUUUUCUCCUUCAUUUUUCUUACCUCUGAGGUCUCCCCCUUCCACACCCUCUUCUCUCUUGGUCCUCUCGUCUCUUUAUUCGCGUGUUGGGCGAAUCGAUGCUUUUCAUCGUCACCGUAUCUUCCUCCCUCUCGGCAAUCGAAUCGAACGUGAAUUUAGCGUUCCAUGUGCGCGUGCGUGCUCAGUCCCUUUCUUUUUUUUCUUUGUCGCUCUCUCUUUCAUGUCCUUGGAAAAGAAGAAAAGAGAAAACGUGCUGCCGUUGGGGUUGUUUAGCACUUGCCGUUUGCGUAGUGCUCUGAGUGCGCGCGCGCGCGGCUGUGCAUUGCUCUUUGGCCUCCCUCGAUGUGGGCUUGUCUUUUUGCGACGGCUCGCGUGCGUGUGCGUGUGUGUGUGUGUGCGUGUGAUCCAGGUACUUUUUUGGAAAGUGCCCUAGUCUCUGUCUGUCUGUCUGUCUGUGUGUGUGUGUGUGUGUGCGUGUGCGCGUCUGUUUGCAUGUUACUCCCUUUGUGCUUUUCCCCGAUUAUUUUCCUCUCUGACUUCUCUGAUCUCACCGCGGCAAAGUGGCUUCGGGCACCCCCUCUUUCGCGUGAUAGCGCAUCGCUCAGCUUCAGUAGUGUGCAGUUAUCCGCGCUCACUUAGUACGCCUCUGUUGUCUUUUUUUUUUCGUGUGUUUGAUCACAUGCCAUGUGGUGCGCACGCUUCGUGCUUCUCUCGACGCUUGUGCUCACAGACACUCGCACACACGCGUCCGCACGCGCCUUCUACGCGAGUUACAGCCAAAGGGGUACGAGAGCACAUACGGCACAGCGCUUUUCUUUUUUGCCCAUGUAGUGCCGGUGGUGUGCUGUGGGUAUGUUUUUUUUUUGGUUGUUGUUCAUCUUGACCGUUCUACUCGUAUGGCUGGCAUUGAUACUGUUCUCACGAGCUCUAUCACUCUCACUCUUUUUCAUCGUUUUCUUCUCUGACAAACAGGAAGCGAAUGCUCGCACACUUUCUCUUGGCUGUACAUAAUGACUGACCUGUUUCCCUUCCUUCUCUCUCACGGGGAGGGGGUGAGGUCUCGAUCUGUGAACUUAUUUUCGUCUUCCCCAUGUUUACCGGUGUUUUUUUCUUCUUCUUCAGCCUCGUGUCUGGGAUGCGUUUUCGUCAUGGGUGGCUGUGCGUACCAGCUGCCUCUCCUGCUCGUUGGCGCGCACACACGCACGUUGAUGUGUAUCGCUGUGCAUGUGAGUGCCUGCGUGAUUGAUUAUUUCAAGCAUUGUGCAUCCUCGAAAGCUUCUCCCAUCCUCUCUCUCUGUCUCUCUCUCUGCAUGGCCUUCCUAGUACGUCGUCUACUUUUUCUUUGUCGCAUUUCCGCGUGCCAACUUGCCUCACCCUCCUCCUCUUUUGCUUGCUCGCUUUUCCCAAGGCCUCUUCUUUCACGUGGCCAAGCGCGGGUGUCGGACAUGGACGAGACCACAAGCAAGGACCCCAGUGAGGGAAGGAGGAUGAAACAGUUUAGGCGGGAGAGAGACGUGUUGGCGAGCGCCGUAUGACGAGGCGGCAGUGGCAGGGCCAAUCUGCGGCACCACACUCGCACACACUAAAAGCAUACGCGCACACUCUCCACAACCACAUUGCCCCUGCUUCGUUUGCUCGUUUUCUCUCCCGUGUUCAUGUGCCCCCUGUGUCUUUCCCAGCUCACUGGUGUUCUUAGGGAAAGGGGCGAAAAGAAACGACCCCCAAAACAAAAUAAUUUCACUUGGCUUUGCUGUGCUAGUCUUGCGCCGUGAGCGGGCGAGCGGUGGGUGUACAACGUCCAGACUUCUUUGGCCACCGAGAAGCAUGCGCAUGCACUUAGAGUGACACGCACACCCACCCACACAAACUACUAGAAUCACCUAUCCUCUCCGCUCUUACCUCCCUACUGUAUGGGCACACUCGCGUGGUGUCUAAACACGCACCUACGGCCAUCAAGGGGCCGCAUACGAGCACUUGUGGAGUUUCCUUCCCUUUUAUCAUCCCUUUUCGACGCUUGUGCGCGGCGUGUGAUGGCUUGCGCAGCCCGUGCCCCUGCCCACGUUUGCUUACUUCUCAUACUUCACCGCCUCCUUCCACAGGAGCUCCGUCCGAUGUUGCGGCAUGAAUAGAGACCAUCAAUUACACCGCUUGUGUCUGUAGUCGUGCUUCUUUCACCAUUUUUCUUGUUUCCCUUCUUUGCCAGGCCGCGAUUGCGGCAUCUGCCUACUCCUUUCCCUCGCCUGCAGUCUGGGUGUGUGGGCAUGUUCAUGCGUGCGGAGUCGUACUCAUAAACACGCUCACACAGACGCCAGCCCACAUACAAAGGCUUUCCCCUUUUGUAAAUUCUGUCUCACUUUCUCCCCAACGUGAUUCUUUGCUUUUUUUUCUUUCCCCCAGUUAUUAGGUUAUGCGACUGUUUUUUUUUUUUGUUUUGUUUUGUUUACGUGUAUGGGGUACUUGUACCGAUAAGGAGCUAAGAAACGAAUGCUAACAAGAGGUAUCCGCUACAUGACAACACAGACAGGCAUACGCACCCACACGCAGACACGCAGCUCUUUGCUUCACAGUCCCACCAACGCUCAUGGUUUCUUGCCUUCUUUCGGUGGGCUCUCUUCACCGUUUCUUUCUGCCUUCAAAGCGGCGAUGUCGCUCCCCGUCGUUACACAGACGCACACAUACACUUGGAUGGCUUUCAAGAGUGCAGCACAGAAAGCAUGCAGUCACUAGGGGGGGGGCUCGCAUCGUAUCUUAGGCAUGGUGGACUUUUUCCUGGUGCGUGCGCACUUCUGGGUCAUCCUCUCUCUCUCUGCUCUGCUCUGCAAAAUAGCCAACAGUACAUGUUGCGUUUUCUUCCUUUUUCUUGUGUGAGUGCGCAUGUAGUUUUUUUUUUGUCUGACGUGCAUGUGUGUGUGUGUGUGUGCUCGGGUGAAUAACGGUGCGUCCCAUUUUUUCCCCUUUUCGAUUGCGGGAUCGACCUCUGCUUUCCCAUCAUCUAUCGUUUCCGCGUUCAUGCAUUUCAUACGACUUGAGACGGCAGGGAAAACAUGCUUUUUUUUCUUUUUGUUAUUGCUGUUUUGACGGUGUUUGUCUGCGUGUGUGGGCCCUCUCUCCUUGUGUAUGCCUUUUUUGUAGAUGUGCUUACAUAUGCUAUUUUACGGUGUCGCCAGCGAAACACUUACCCCCUCACCCAGCGCACACGUCAUGCUUUCGUCGUCUUUUGCUGCGCACGCAGGAAAGCACACGCGCCUGUGAGCCUAGAAUUGCUGUUUGGCGCCAUGUUGAACUUCAAGUAGGUUUUUUUUUUAUCCCUCUCUUCCGGAUUUGUUCGGCUUCCUUUCUUUCGUUUCACAUCUUGAGCCUUCCUGCCCUAGCCUCCUCAUGAUAUACUCCCAUCUUUUCUCGGUACCUCCUUCCGUUCCCGCCUUUUCUUUAGCGCGCGUCUCUCUGCCGCUCUCUCAGCAUCUUUUUUUUUCGUCGUCGUUUGUCUUCGCCUGGGCUUACUUGGACGUUCUCCGUACCCUCUCCUCCUCCCCUUCCUCUCUCGUCUCUCUUUCUCUCUCUACAUGUUCAACUUUUUUCAUCAUUUAUGUGUGUGUGUGUGUGCUGAUUCUUCUUUUUGCUCCUUUUCCUCUUUCGCCGCCGAAAGCCCAAUCUCCCCCGUGCUUUUCCCUGUUCUCGUCUUUUCCGGGCUAUCUGUUUCCUUCGUUACCCCCAACACUCCCAGCAUGAUUUCCGCUGUAUGUGUGAUGGAGACUGCGCCUCCUUUUUUUUUUUGAGUGUCAGCGCUUGGCUUUUGUUUUGUGUUCCGAUUCUAUUUUCUGUGCGUGAAACCUUUUUUAUCCGUGUGUGUUUCCUCUGUUUUUUGUUUUUUUUUUUUGAGUGUAUGCUGAUGAGCAUCACUCUCUCGUGUUUUGUCUUUGCCCCAUCUCCCUUUUUCUAUUGUUGUUCGGUUCAUGUGGCGCUAACGGCUUACAGGCUAACGUUUUUUUUUUUAGUUGUAUUUUAGUUUUUAGUUUUUUUUUUUUUUGGAAUCCCUUGUGCCUUCUUUUGCUUGAUGAACGCCUUUCUCCAGUUUUUUUUUUGUAUGCUUACGUCCUCACACCCCUGUGCCCCAUAUCUGUUUGACAUGUUCGUUUUUCGCCCUCUUUUUUUGUCUGUGGUUUGUGGUGUCGCGCGGGCGUUUGCACUGUGCUCCUUUUUCUUUCGUUUAUGAUUUCUGCCUCUCGUGGGCCUUUCUUUCCGUCUCUGCACCGUUUCACUAUGACUGUUGCUAUUCUUGUGAAGUUUCCCGCUGCGUGCAUGAGCAAUCACCUACCUCUUUCCAUGAUCGUCCCUACUUAUUUUAUUUUUAUCUUGUUGCAACUCGACACACACGCGCACACUCAGGCACACAGAUAUAUGCAGAAGGGCUUUUUCCCCUUCAUCUGCUCGCUCCCUUUCUCUCUUUCCCGCGCCUCCCACUCAUUUCACCGCCCGUUCUCGUUUACUUUGUGUUUCUUCACGUUCACCAGCACCACCUCGCCCCAGCCCCCCCUUUUUUUUGCUUCCUACGCUUGCUGUUCGUUGCUCGUGUCUGUUCACUUCCUUUCAUUGUGUGGUGCCUGUGCUCGUGCGGAGCAGGCCUUACAGGGGACGUGUAAUUCAGGAGAUGCGUGUGGUGAGGAAGUCAAAAGAGCGAAGUGCGGGUGCUACUCUACGCCGGUGGGAAGCGAGAGCGCACUAAAAGGACAAGCAGCGCAGAGGUGAAGGGCGAAUUUAAGUGAAGAGGGGCUGGAAAAAGAAUGCGCGGGAGAAAGCUUUCUGUUUGGAUGACGCACAUGUUUACCCCCACACGGGCCGGUGUCUUCGCUGCCACGCACCCCACUCGCUUCGCACCGAUCUGGAACGCUGUGGCGCCUUCCUUUUGUUUUUCUCCGUGGAUUUUCCCUUGUGACGCCUUGUCUUUUUUCUUUUUUACUUUCUCUCGCUCUUCAUGUCUUUACGGGAGGCUGUAUGCACCCUUUCUGUGCCCUCAGCGAAGCCCCUCUCCCUGAGCUUCUUUCUUUUCCCUGUCGUGCUUGCAUUACUGCGCACUGUUGUUUUGCUUCGUUUUUUUUUCUGCAUUUCGUUUUGGUUCUGCUUUUUUUUUUCUCGUGCGUGUGUGUGUGUUUUUGCUCUUCUCGUUUCCAUUCGUUGUCAACCAUUACCAAUAAAGCAGCCACUCCCAAGCUCUCUCUAUAUCACUUGUUUCUUGUCCUCGCUCCUUCUCUGGCCUUGUGACGGCCUAUCUCUUUGGUUCCUUCCUUCCCCUCUUUCGAUUGCCUUGAUGACGGCAGACACACACCUCGGUGCGUGGUAUACAGGGUCCCGCACCCACUCUCUGAGGACGCCAAGCAGCACCCCCUAUCCCUGCCGCAUGCAUAGCGACGUUCUGGUGGGGACAGGGUUAGUUACCCACACGACAUGGGAAAGCCAGAGCGACCGAUCGCUGCGAGUGUAGGCGACCAGAACAAAUAAAAACAGAGGAUAAUGAACAUGCAACAUAAUCCAUAAGCGCUUUAUGGCGCUCCCAGAGAUAAACGCAGAGGCGACGCAAGGGGUGCCACACAUACGCACAUACGUUACCCCCUUCCGCCCUCCAAUCCCGGCACCCCCGCACUUCACCUGCAGAUUUGCAGGGUCGUACGGAUGGUAAGUGCGGAGAUGGGGGUGGGAUGUAUGGAAAGGGGAGGAGGUGAUCACAAGGCGUUGUCGAUCAACUGAGCAGCUCUGCCUCUCCUUUCCACACAUCCUUUUUUCUUUUCCUCGUUUUGCAGUGGGG